GUCAUUACAAACAUUUUCGCAGUCUUAAUGUUAACAGGCAAAAAUGGCAGGCACAAGCAAGAGUAUUAAAGGGUCACAGGAGUAAAAUGAAAGCAUUCAAGUGGAUUUUGCAACACUCAACCGCAGAAAAUAGAUGGCUGAAAAAGACAGAUCCUCCGGAGCAAUAAUCUUGCAUGAAUGGGAUGAGAAGUGAACUGUUUGGACCUGCCUAUUAGAGACAACCAGGAAGUAAGAAGAGUGGUGAAUUUGCCUGUGUGUAGAGCUCCUUGCAUACUGGUUGUGGAAGUGGGUGAGACAACGCACCACAAACACUGUCUGGCAACAUGUCUCAACCUAAAGGCAAGUACCAUGACGCUCUUCAUAAUAAACUAGCAUUAGAUAAUAGAUAAUAAUUAUAUGACUGCCUAUGUAACUCAUUGAUGAGAG
Molecule: long non-coding RNA, 426 nt
Organism: Oncorhynchus tshawytscha (Chinook salmon)
Lineage: Eukaryota; Metazoa; Chordata; Actinopteri; Salmoniformes; Salmonidae
Source: Ensembl